CCUACGGGUGGCUGCAGUGAGGAAUAUUGGUCAAUGGGCGCGAGCCUGAACCAGCCAAGUCGCGUGAAGGAUGAAUGCCCUACGGGUUGUAAACUUCUUUUAUAAAGGAAUAAAGUGAGGAACGUGUGCCUUUUUGUAUGUACUUUAUGAAUAAGCAUCGGCUAACUCCGUGCCAGCAGCCGCGGUAAUACGGAGGAUCCGAGCGUUAUCCGGAUUUAUUGGGUUUAAAGCGAGCGUAGGUGGGUUGUUAAGUCAGUGGUGAAAGUUUGGGGCUCAACCAUAAAAUUGCAAUUGAUACUGGUAGUCUUGAGUAUAUUUGAGGUAGGCGGAAUGCGUGGUGUAGCGGUGAAAUGCAUAGAUAUCACGCAGAACUCCGAUUGCGAAGGCAGCUUACUAAACUGUAACUGACACUGAUGCACGAAAGUGUGGGGAUCAAACAGGAUUAGAUACCCUGGUAGUC
This 460-nucleotide ribosomal RNA is filed under the name uncultured bacterium. RNAcentral describes it as "partial 16S ribosomal RNA". It matches the Rfam family "Bacterial small subunit ribosomal RNA", at positions 338 to 795 of the family's 1533-position model. The record is from RNAcentral.